RNAcentral lists this ribosomal RNA (253 nucleotides) under uncultured Blautia sp. RNAcentral describes it as "partial 16S ribosomal RNA". It matches the Rfam family "Bacterial small subunit ribosomal RNA", at positions 524 to 776 of the family's 1533-position model. The record is from RNAcentral. Lineage: Bacteria; Bacillati; Bacillota; Clostridia; Lachnospirales; Lachnospiraceae.
UACGUAGGUGGCAAGCGUUGUCCGGAAUGACUGGGCGUAAAGGGAGCGUAGGCGGCGCAGUAAGUUAGGAGUGAAAGCCCGGGGCUCAACCCCGGGACUGCAUUUGGAACUGUAUGGCUGGAGUGUCGGAGAGGCAGGCGGAAUUCCUAGUGUAGCGGUGAAAUGCGUAGAUAUUAGGAGGAACACCAGUGGCGAAGGCGGCCUGCUGGACGAUGACUGACGUUGAGGCUCGAAAGCGUGGGUAUCGAACAGG